Molecule: ribosomal RNA, 301 nt
Filed under: uncultured bacterium
Lineage: Bacteria
Description: partial 16S ribosomal RNA
Rfam family: Bacterial small subunit ribosomal RNA
Source: RNAcentral
CAGCCGCCGCGGUAAAACAGAGGAUGCAAGCGUUAUCCGGAAUGAUUGGGCGUAAAGGGUGCGUAGGCGGCCCCGCAAGUCUCAUGUGAAAUCUUCAGGCUCAGCUUGAAGUCUGCAUGGGAAACUGCGGGGCUGGAGUAUGGGAGAGAUGAGUGGAAUUCCUGGUGUAGCGGUGAAAUGCGUAGAUAUCGGAAGGAACACCUGUGGCGAAAGCGGCUCACUGGACCAUUACUGACGCUGAGGCGCGAAAGCUAGGGGAGCAAACAGGAUUAGAUACCCGCGUAGUCCCUGUCUCUUAUAC